Acanthoscelides obtectus is the source of this 72-nucleotide non-coding RNA. The record is from the annotation of a GenBank genome assembly. NCBI's taxonomy places the organism in Eukaryota, Metazoa, Arthropoda, Insecta, Coleoptera, Chrysomelidae.
GACGCUGUAGACCAAUUGGUUGAGUCGGCUCCAUGGAAUGGAGAAGUGCGGGUUCGAAUCCCAACGGCGCCU